AGCGAACGCUGGCGGCAGGCCUAACACAUGCAAGUCGAACGGACCCUUCGGGGUUAGUGGCGGACGGGUGAGUAACACGUGGGAACGUGCCUUUAGGUUCGGAAUAGCUCCUGGAAACGGGUGGUAAUGCCGAAUGUGCCCUUCGGGGGAAAGAUUUAUCGCCUUUAGAGCGGCCCGCGUCUGAUUAGCUAGUUGGUGAGGUAACGGCUCACCAAGGCGACGAUCAGUAGCUGAUCUGAGAGGAUGACCAGCCACACUGGGACUGAGACACGGCCCAGACUCCUACGGGAGGCAGCAGUGGGGAAUCUUGCGCAAUGGGCGAAAGCCUGACGCAGCCAUGCCGCGUGAAUGAUGAAGGUCUUAGGAUUGUAAAAUUCUUUCACCGGGGACGAUAAUGACGGUACCCGGAGAAGAAGCCCCGGCUAACUUCGUG
RNAcentral lists this ribosomal RNA (433 nucleotides) under uncultured bacterium. Its description in RNAcentral is "partial 16S ribosomal RNA". It matches the Rfam family "Bacterial small subunit ribosomal RNA", at positions 29 to 507 of the family's 1533-position model. The record is from RNAcentral.